AGGGUUUGAUCCUGGCUCAGAACGUACGCUGGCGGCACGCCUAACACAUGCAAGUCGAACGAAGUAGCAAUACUUAGUGGCAGACGGGUGAGUAACAUGUAGGUAUCUGCCCUUUGGCCUGGAAUAACACGAGGAAACUUGUGCUAAUACCGGAUAAGUCUUUACGGAGAAAGCUUUAUGCACCAUUGGAUGAGCCUGCACUUGAUUAGUUUGUUGGUGGGGUAACGGCCUACCAAGACUGUGAUCAAUAGCUGAUUUGAGAGGAUGAUCAGCCACAUUGGGACUGAGACACGGCCCAAACUCCUACGGGAGGCAGCAGUGGGGAAUCUUGCACAAUGGAGGAAACUCUGAUGCAGCGAUGCCGCGUGAGUGAAGAAGGCCUUUGGGUUGUAAAGCUCUUUCGUCGGGGAAGAAAAUGACUGUACCCGAAUAAGAAGGUCCGGCUAACUUCGUGCCAGCAGCCGCGGUAAUACGAAGGGACCUAGCGUAGUUCGGAAUUACUGGGCUUAAAGAGUUCGUAGGUGGUUGAAAAAGUUAGUGGUGAAAUCCCAGAGCUUAACUCUGGAACUGCCAUUAAAACUUUUCAGCUAGAGUAUGAUAGAGGAAAGCAGAAUUUCUAGUGUAGAGGUGAAAUUCGUAGAUAUUAGAAAGAAUACCAAUUGCGAAGGCAGCUUUCUGGAUCAUUACUGACACUGAGGAACGAAAGCAUGGGUAGCGAAGAGGAUUAGAUACCCUCGUAGUCCAUGCCGUAAGCGAUGUGUGUUAGACGUUGGAAAUUUAUUUUCAGUGUCGCAGCGAAAGCGAUAAACACACCGCCUGGGGAGUACGACCGCAAGGUUAAAACUCAAAUGAAUUGACGGGGACCCGCACAAGUAGUGGAGCAUGUGGUUUAAUUCGAAGAUACGCGCAGAACCUUACCAACACUUGACAUGUUCGUCGCGACUCUAAGAGAUUAGAGUUUUCGGUUCGGCCGGACGAAACACAGGUGCUGCAUGGCUGUCGUCAGCUCGUGUCGUGAGAUGUUGGGUUAAGUCCCGCAACGAGCGCAACCCUCACUUUUAGUUGCCAUCAUUAAGU
This 1077-nucleotide ribosomal RNA is filed under the name uncultured bacterium. RNAcentral's name for it is "bacterial SSU rRNA". It matches the Rfam family "Bacterial small subunit ribosomal RNA", at positions 8 to 1129 of the family's 1533-position model. The record is from RNAcentral.